CGCUUGGGGCAAUGACAAUGACGCAGCUAGUGUGGUAAUACCGAGACGCGUCAAUUGCUGGUUGAAAACUAUUUCCAAACCCCCUCUACGCCCUAUGGGCCACUGAGAAUUUCUGGAAGGGCUCCUCCUCUUCGGAGAAGGGAAAGCC
RNAcentral lists this small nuclear RNA (148 nucleotides) under Setaria italica (foxtail millet). RNAcentral describes it as "snRNA U4". The stretch from base 1 to 129 matches the Rfam family "U4 spliceosomal RNA". From Rfam's summary of the family: U4 small nuclear RNA (U4 snRNA) is a component of the major U2-dependent spliceosome. The structure of U4 snRNA from yeast and human has been reported. The record is from Rfam by way of RNAcentral. Lineage: Eukaryota; Viridiplantae; Streptophyta; Magnoliopsida; Poales; Poaceae. RNAcentral also lists the same sequence under 1 other name.